AGCAGUUGCGGUUAAACAUAGUAUACAAGUAAAAUUCAUUGGUUAAUAGUAUAAAUAAAAAAGAAUUAUUUAAUUUUUAAAUUUAAGGUAAAAUUUAGUUUAAAGUUAAAAUUGUAAUUAUUUUAUUCUAUUAAAUUUUUUUUGAAACUAGGAUUAGAUACCCUAUUAUAAAAAUUUAAAAUUAUUACUAAAAAAUUAAUAGUUAAGUUCUUUAAAUUUAAAAAAUUUGGCGGUAUUUUAGUCUUAUUAGAGGAACCUGUUUUUUAAUUGAUAAUCCACGAUUAAUUUUACUUAAUUUUAAAUUCAUAUAUCGCUGUCAUGAAUAUAUUAAAAAAUUUAUUUUCUUUAAUUAUUAUUUUAAUUUAUGUUAAGUCAAGAUGUGGUUAAUUUUUAAGAAAGUAAUGGGUUACAAUAAAUUUUAAUUUUGAAUUUAUAAUGAAAAUUGAUAAUGAAAUUGGAUUUAAUAGUAAAUUUAUUUAUUUAAAUAAAAUGAAUAUAGAUCUAAAAUAUGUACAUAUUGCCCGUCAUUCUUAUAAAAAAUAAGACAAGUCGUAACAAAGUAAAUGUACUGGAAAGUGUAUUUAGAAAGUAAUUAGAA
This 598-nucleotide ribosomal RNA is filed under the name Chaetosiphella stipae. RNAcentral describes it as "partial 12S small subunit ribosomal RNA". Lineage: Eukaryota; Metazoa; Arthropoda; Insecta; Hemiptera; Aphididae. The record is from RNAcentral.